This 329-nucleotide ribosomal RNA is filed under the name uncultured eukaryote. RNAcentral describes it as "partial 18S ribosomal RNA". It matches the Rfam family "Eukaryotic small subunit ribosomal RNA", at positions 1470 to 1796 of the family's 1831-position model. The record is from RNAcentral.
CCCUUAGAUGUCCUGGGCCGCACGCGCGCUACACUGAGUGUCUGAGAUACGAGUCUGCCUGGUCCGGCAAGGUCUAGGUAAUCGCUAAAAGACACAUCAUGCUUGGGAUAGAUUAUUGCAAAUAUUAAUCUUGAACGAGGAAUUCCUAGUAAGCGCAAGUCAACAGCUUGCGUUGAUUACGUCCCUGCCCUUUGUACACACCGCCCGUCGCUACGACUGAUUGGAUGUUUAAGCGAGGUUCUCGAACUGCUAGCGACUUAGCUUCGGUGAGGUCGCAGUGUGGGAAGUGAACCUAGCUUUGGUGUCUAGAGGAAGUAAAAGUCGUAACA